ACUAAUGCUAUGUCGGCUUAUUCCCAAAAACUUUUAUCACAAAUACUUUUACUAUGUGGAGUCAUUACUCUUCAUGGGAUUAGCAUAUGAUUCUUUUUAUAUCUUUUAUUUCAUUGCUAUGAUGAUAGAUGCAGGAGAGUAAAUCACAUUAGAUCAACGAGUCUUUAUUAUAUAACUCGCGCAAUCAAUUACAAGGAUUGAUAGAUCUCAAAGAAAAAA
RNAcentral lists this long non-coding RNA (219 nucleotides) under Hordeum vulgare. RNAcentral's name for it is "long non-coding RNA (HVUL_LNC019292)". Lineage: Eukaryota; Viridiplantae; Streptophyta; Magnoliopsida; Poales; Poaceae. The record is from RNAcentral.